This 485-nucleotide ribosomal RNA is filed under the name uncultured bacterium. RNAcentral's name for it is "partial 16S ribosomal RNA". It matches the Rfam family "Bacterial small subunit ribosomal RNA", at positions 28 to 506 of the family's 1533-position model. The record is from RNAcentral.
GAUGAACGCUGGCGGCGUGCCUAAUACAUGCAAGUCGAACGCUGGAGAUCUAGCUUGCUAGCUCGAAGGAGUGGCGAACGGGUGAGUAAUACAUAAGCAACCUACCCACGAAGACUGGGAUAAUCUCUGGAAACGGGGACUAAUACCGGAUAGGUAAUCGGAAGGCAUCUUCUGGUUAUUAAAGGUUAAAAACACUGGUGGAUGGGCUUAUGGCGCAUUAGUUAGUUGGUGAGGUAACGGCCCACCAAGACGAUGAUGCGUAGCCGGCCUGAGAGGGUGAACGGCCACAUUGGGACUGAGACACGGCCCAGACGCCUACGGGAGGCAGCAGUAGGGAAUUUUCGGCAAUGGGGGCAACCCUGACCGAGCAACGCCGCGUGAGUGAAGACGGCCUUCGGGUUGUAAAGCUCUGUUGUAAGGGAAGAACGGUAGAUAGAGAAUAUCUAAGUGACGGUACCUUACCAGAAAGCCACGGCUAACUACGU